GGGCAAUGCGGCGUGCUUACCAUGCAGUCGACGAUGAACCACUUCGGUGGGGAUUAGUGGCGAACGGGUGAGUAAGAGUGGGCAAUCUGCCCUGCACUCUGGGACAAGCCCUGGAAACGGGGUCUAAUACCGGAUACGACACACUCAGGCAUCUGAUGUGUGUGGAAAGCUCCGGCGGUGCAGGAUGAGCCCGCGGCCUAUCAGCUUGUUGGUGAGGUAACGGCUCACCAAGGCGACGACGGGUAGCCGGCCUGAGAGGGCGACCGGCCACACUGGGACUGAGACACGGCCCAGACUCCUACGGGAGGCAGCAGUGGGGAAUAUUGCACAAUGGGCGCAAGCCUGAUGCAGCGACGCCGCGUGAGGGAUGACGGCCUUCGGGUUGUAAACCUCUUUCAGCAGGGAAGAAGCGAAAGUGACGGUACCUGCAGAAGAAGCGCCGGCUAACUACGUGCCAGCAGCCGCGGUAAUACGUAGGGCGCAAGCGUUGUCCGGAAUUAUUGGGCGUAAAGAGCUCGUAGGCGGCUUGUCACGUCGGAUGUGAAAGCCCGGGGCUUAACCCCGGGUCUGCAUUCGAUACGGGCAGGCUAGAGUUCGGUAGGGGAGAUCGGAAUUCCUGGUGUAGCGGUGAAAUGCGCAGAUAUCAGGAGGAACACCGGUGGCGAAGGCGGAUCUCUGGGCCGAUACUGACGCUGAGGAGCGAAAGCGUGGGGAGCGAACAGGAUUAGAUACCCUGGUAGUCCACGCCGUAAACGGUGGGCACUAGGUGUGGGCGACAUUCCACGUCGUCCGUGCCGCAGCUAACGCAUUAAGUGCCCCGCCUGGGGAGUACGGCCGCAAGGCUAAAACUCAAAGGAAUUGACGGGGCCCGCACAAGCGGCGGAGCAUGUGGCUUAAUUCGACGCAACGCGAGAACCUUACCAAGGCUUGACAUACACCC
Molecule: ribosomal RNA, 940 nt
Filed under: Streptomyces sp. X9
Lineage: Bacteria; Bacillati; Actinomycetota; Actinomycetes; Kitasatosporales; Streptomycetaceae
Description: bacterial SSU rRNA
Rfam family: Bacterial small subunit ribosomal RNA
Source: RNAcentral